UUAAGCGACUAAGCGUACACGGUGGAUGCCCUGGCAGUCAGAGGCGAUGAAGGACGUGCUAAUCUGCGAUAAGCGUCGGUAAGGUGAUAUGAACCGUUAUAACCGGCGAUUUCCGAAUGGGGAAACCCAGUGUGAUUCGUCACACUAUCAUUAACUGAAUCCAUAGGUUAAUGAGGCGAACCGGGGGAACUGAAACAUCUAAGUACCCCGAGGAAAAGAAAUCAACCGAGAUUCCCCCAGUAGCGGCGAGCGAACGGGGAGCAGCCCAGAGCCUGAAUCAGUGUGUGUGUUAGUGGAAGCGUCUGGAAAGGCGCGCGAUACAGGGUGACAGCCCCGUACACAAAAAUGCACAUACUGUGAGCUCGAUGAGUAGGGCGGGACACGUGGUAUCCUGUCUGAAUAUGGGGGGACCAUCCUCCAAGGCUAAAUACUCCUGACUGACCGAUAGUGAACCAGUACCGUGAGGGAAAGGCGAAAAGAACCCCGGCGAGGGGAGUGAAAAAGAACCUGAAACCGUGUACGUACAAGCAGUGGGAGCACGCUUAGGCGUGUGACUGCGUACCUUUUGUAUAAUGGGUCAGCGACUUAUAUUCUGUAGCAAGGUUAACCGAAUAGGGGAGCCGAAGGGAAACCGAGUCUUAACUGGGCGUUAAGUUGCAGGGUAUAGACCCGAAACCCGGUGAUCUAGCCAUGGGCAGGUUGAAGGUUGGGUAACACUAACUGGAGGACCGAACCGACUAAUGUCGAAAAAUUAGCGGAUGACUUGUGGCUGGGGGUGAAAGGCCAAUCAAACCGGGAGAUAGCUGGUUCUCCCCGAAAGCUAUUUAGGUAGCGCCUCGUGAAUUCAUCUCCGGGGGUAGAGCACUGUUUCGGCAAGGGGGUCAUCCCGACUUACCAACCCGAUGCAAACUGCGAAUACCGGAGAAUGUUAUCACGGGAGACACACGGCGGGUGCUAACGUCCGUCGUGAAGAGGGAAACAACCCAGACCGCCAGCUAAGGUCCCAAAGUCAUGGUUAAGUGGGAAACGAUGUGGGAAGGCCCAGACAGCCAGGAUGUUGGCUUAGAAGCAGCCAUCAUUUAAAGAAAGCGUAAUAGCUCACUGGUCGAGUCGGCCUGCGCGGAAGAUGUAACGGGGCUAAACCAUGCACCGAAGCUGCGGCAGCGACGCUGAUGCGUUGUUGGGUAGGGGAGCGUUCUGUAAGCCUGUGAAGGUGUGCUGUGAGGCAUGCUGGAGGUAUCAGAAGUGCGAAUGCUGACAUAAGUAACGAUAAAGCGGGUGAAAAGCCCGCUCGCCGGAAGACCAAGGGUUCCUGUCCAACGUUAAUCGGGGCAGGGUGAGUCGACCCCUAAGGCGAGGCCGAAAGGCGUAGUCGAUGGGAAACAGGUUAAUAUUCCUGUACUUGGUGUUACUGCGAAGGGGGGACGGAGAAGGCUAUGUUGGCCGGGCGACGGUUGUCCCGGUUUAAGCGUGUAGGCUGGUUUUCCAGGCAAAUCCGGAAAAUCAAGGCUGAGGCGUGAUGACGAGGCACUACGGUGCUGAAGCAACAAAUGCCCUGCUUCCAGGAAAAGCCUCUAAGCAUCAGGUAACAUCAAAUUGUACCCCAAACCGACACAGGUGGUCAGGUAGAGAAUACCAAGGCGCUUGAGAGAACUCGGGUGAAGGAACUAGGCAAAAUGGUGCCGUAACUUCGGGAGAAGGCACGCUGAUAUGUAGGUGAAGUCCCUCGCGGAUGGAGCUGAAAUCAGUCGAAGAUACCAGCUGGCUGCAACUGUUUAUUAAAAACACAGCACUGUGCAAACACGAAAGUGGACGUAUACGGUGUGACGCCUGCCCGGUGCCGGAAGGUUAAUUGAUGGGGUCAGCGCAAGCGAAGCUCUUGAUCGAAGCCCCGGUAAACGGCGGCCGUAACUAUAACGGUCCUAAGGUAGCGAAAUUCCUUGUCGGGUAAGUUCCGACCUGCACGAAUGGCGUAAUGAUGGCCAGGCUGUCUCCACCCGAGACUCAGUGAAAUUGAACUCGCUGUGAAGAUGCAGUGUACCCGCGGCAAGACGGAAAGACCCCGUGAACCUUUACUAUAGCUUGACACUGAACAUUGAGCCUUGAUGUGUAGGAUAGGUGGGAGGCUUUGAAGUGUGGACGCCAGUCUGCAUGGAGCCGGCCUUGAAAUACCACCCUUUAAUGUUUGAUGUUCUAACGUUGACCCGUGAUCCGGGUUGCGGACAGUGUCUGGUGGGUAGUUUGACUGGGGCGGUCUCCUCCUAAAGAGUAACGGAGGAGCACGAAGGUUGGCUAAUCCUGGUCGGACAUCAGGAGGUUAGUGCAAUGGCAUAAGCCAGCUUGACUGCGAGCGUGACGGCGCGAGCAGGUGCGAAAGCAGGUCAUAGUGAUCCGGUGGUUCUGAAUGGAAGGGCCAUCGCUCAACGGAUAAAAGGUACUCCGGGGAUAACAGGCUGAUACCGCCCAAGAGUUCAUAUCGACGGCGGUGUUUGGCACCUCGAUGUCGGCUCAUCACAUCCUGGGGCUGAAGUAGGUCCCAAGGGUAUGGCUGUUCGCCAUUUAAAGUGGUACGCGAGCUGGGUUUAGAACGUCGUGAGACAGUUCGGUCCCUAUCUGCCGUGGGCGCUGGAGAACUGAGGGGGGCUGCUCCUAGUACGAGAGGACCGGAGUGGACGCAUCACUGGUGUUCGGGUUGUCAUGCCAAUGGCACUGCCCGGUAGCUAAAUGCGGAAGAGAUAAGUGCUGAAAGCAUCUAAGCACGAAACUUGCCCCGAGAUGAGUUCUCCCUGACUCCUUGAGAGUCCUGAAGGAACGUUGAAGACGACGACGUUGAUAGGCCGGGUGUGUAAGCGCAGCGAUGCGUUGAGCUAACCGGUACUAAUGAACCGUGAGGCUUAACCUU
This 2902-nucleotide ribosomal RNA is filed under the name Escherichia coli DEC11C. Its description in RNAcentral is "bacterial LSU rRNA". It matches the Rfam family "Bacterial large subunit ribosomal RNA". Lineage: Bacteria; Pseudomonadati; Pseudomonadota; Gammaproteobacteria; Enterobacterales; Enterobacteriaceae. The record is from RNAcentral.